RNAcentral lists this transfer RNA (73 nucleotides) under Haemaphysalis longicornis (longhorned tick). It matches the Rfam family "tRNA". From Rfam's summary of the family: Transfer RNA (tRNA) molecules are approximately 80 nucleotides in length. Their secondary structure includes four short double-helical elements and three loops (D, anti-codon, and T loops). Further hydrogen bonds mediate the characteristic L-shaped molecular structure. tRNAs have two regions of fundamental functional importance: the anti-codon, which is responsible for specific mRNA codon recognition, and the 3' end, to which the tRNAs corresponding amino acid is attached (by aminoacyl-tRNA synthetases). tRNAs cope with the degeneracy of the genetic code in two manners: having more than one tRNA (with a specific anti-codon) for a particular amino acid; and 'wobble' base-pairing, i.e. permitting non-standard base-pairing at the 3rd anti-codon position. The record is from Rfam by way of RNAcentral. Lineage: Eukaryota; Metazoa; Arthropoda; Arachnida; Ixodida; Ixodidae.
CCGCCGGUAGCGUAGGGGUUAUCGCACCAGACUGGUAUUCUGGAGGUCGUGGGUUCGGUUCCCACCCUGUGGG